This is a long non-coding RNA of Triplophysa rosa, 2030 nucleotides long. RefSeq lists it as uncharacterized. Lineage: Eukaryota; Metazoa; Chordata; Actinopteri; Cypriniformes; Nemacheilidae. The transcript has 3 exons. The record is from RefSeq and is a predicted model, not a curated record.
UCAAGUCAGCGGCCGUUCCUCCCUCCGCUAGAAUAAGAAAUUAGUCCAUUUUAAAGUAAAUAACUAAACCCCGGAGCCGAUAAGGCAGCGUUAUAAAAUACUGUGCCGUUGCGAUUUUACGGAGAGAAUGGACUUAGGAUAAAGACACAAUGAAUGUGAAUGUUUCUGUCCCAUCGUAUUAUGGAAAUGUGAGAUCUAAAUAUCUCGGAUCACAAAUGGAGGAGGAACAAUAGAUACUACAGCUUGGUCAAAACAAAUAGGCAUACAUUGUCAACAUCACCAGUCAGCAACCAUCAUCCCUUCUCCAGCCCGUAAUGGAGAUCAUAUGUUUAGCUGGUGCUGAAACCCAACACGAGACCUCCACAUCAAAACCGCCUGCUGCCCGGAGAGGAGCCUGCAGGAUCUUUCCCGCUUCAGGGGAAUGAAAACAUAUUUUCAUAGGCCUAGAAAACAGGCCGUAAAAGUGGAGGGGGCCCCCUAUGUCCCUCAAAAAAAAAAAUUGUGAUGAGGCUGAGAUGAGUUCUCUUUUGAGGAGUUGGCUCCGUGUCGAAGAGGCUCUGUUCCAUCUACCUACAUCACCGAAAUGGCAUGCGUGGUCCACCACAAUGUGGUUAGGCUUUUUUCAUGCGCAGAAAGACUUUUUCUUGUUGCCCUUAGCAAUACCUGCUUUUGAUUAGUUUGUAACGACGUGCAUUCGGUUGAGCGAAGCCUCUCUCGUAGACAUGUGCAGUUCUGUGCUAUGAUUCAUGCGAUUCAUAUUUACUCAGAUUCAUAUUCAGAGAUAUAGAUUUUUUUCUUUAAUUUCUUAGAAUGCACAUUUGUGGUCUUAUUGUGCAUGUUAUUAAAAAAUGGCUUGUCUUUGUAAUCUUUCGUCAAAUGGUGUAUUAAUUACUUGCGCCGGCUCUGGAGCGUCUUUCCUUUUUCCACUGACAUCAUGUUGGCCACAAUGGGUAUCGGUCAAUGUUAACACACAGCCGAAUAGAUAUUUAGGUGUUGUUAUAUGGUACAAUGGUGUUGUAUGUAAUGUGACCGGUGUGAUAUUAGUUUGCACAUUGGUUAAAUGCCAGUUAAACUUAAAGUAGUAGUUCACCCUAAAAUGAAAAUUCUGUCAUCAUUUAUUCACCCUCUCCUCAUUUCAAACCUGUAUGACUUUCUUUCUUCCGCAGAACACAAAAGAAGAUAUUUUUAAGAAUGUUGGUAACCAAACAGCACUGGCACCCAUUCAUUUCUAUUGUAUGGACACAAAACCAAUGCAAGUGAAUGGGUGCCCGUUAACAACAUUCUUCAAAAUAUCUUUUUACAAAAAACUAGUAAUGAGCCGUUUGGGAUCAAAACAGAGGGAUGAAUAAAUCAGUAGACUCUUCCGUUUAAUCGUCAAGUUAAAACAUACAUGAAAACAAAUCACACCGGAAGCCAUCAGAAACUCAACAUUUUUCUAAACGUGUGUGUGUAAAUAGCAAUACUUGAAUAAAUAGACGAUGAGAUGUUUUUCCAAAAAAGGGUUUUGUGAGUUUAAUUCAGUAGGAACAAGAGGGAUGGUGACCUGUUAUGUCUUCCUGUGUGCUGUCGUCUUUGUUGUGAUUCGGUGACAUCAUCCACUCUAAUGUCAGCCUGCAAAAAAUCUCUGCGACUGCAAAAAGCCAUAAACACUGAAGAUUAGGUCAGAGCUGCUUUCAUAACCACUUUUGUGACCUCUUUAUUCCUUCUCUUGCUGAGUCUCUCUUUGUCUCGCUCUGUCUUGGUGUACUCCCAUAGCACCUGACCUGACUCUUAAAAACUGCUCUUUUGCAAGGUCAAGUUUCCAUGUCUCUUGCUCGUAAUUUCAGUAUUCUCAUUUAUAAGAUCUCUUUUUCACAUCUUCCUGAUGUGAAUGUUUACCUAGUUAGGCAUGAAUAAAAGGAACAGUACUCUCUAAAAUAAAAAAAACAUACCUUCACGUAUUUCCAAACCUGCAUGAUGUAAUCUCUUCUGUGUAACUAAGAUGUAGAUGCUUUAAAGACUGUGCAUACAAUGUUCUCAUGCAGUGAUCU